Molecule: ribosomal RNA, 465 nt
Filed under: uncultured bacterium
Lineage: Bacteria
Description: partial 16S ribosomal RNA
Rfam family: Bacterial small subunit ribosomal RNA
Source: RNAcentral
GACGAACGCUGGCGGCGUGCUUAACACAUGCAAGUCGAACGGUGAACUCCGCUUGCGGGGGGAUCAGUGGCGAACGGGUGAGUAACACGUGGGCAACCUGCCCUCAGCUCUGGGAUAACUCCAAGAAAUUGGGGCUAAUACCGGAUAUGACCGCUGACCGCAUGGUCUGGGGGUGGAAAGAUUUAUCGGCUGGGGAUGGGCCCGCGGCCUAUCAGCUUGUUGGUGGGGUAGUGGCCUACCAAGGCGACGACGGGUAGCCGGCCUGAGAGGGUGACCGGCCACACUGGGACUGAGACACGGCCCAGACUCCUACGGGAGGCAGCAGUGGGGAAUAUUGCGCAAUGGGCGAAAGCCUGACGCAGCGACGCCGCGUGGGGGAUGACGGCCUUCGGGUUGUAAACCUCUUUCAGCAGGGACGAAGCGAAAGUGACGGUACCUGCAGAAGAAGCACCGGCCAACUACGUG